AGAAUCAACGCUGGCGGCGUGCCUAACACAUGCAAGUCGAACGGGAAAGUGGAGCAAUCCAUGAGUAUAGUGGCGACCGGGUGAGUAACACGUGACUAACCUACCCUUGAGUGGGGGAUAACCUCGGGAAAACCGGGGCUAAUACCGCAUAACAUCUUCGGGAUGAGAGGCUGAAGAUCAAAGGAGCAAUUCGCUUUCGGAGGGGUCGCGGCUGAUUAGCUAGUUGGCGGGUAACGGCCCACCAAGGCUUUGAUCGGUA
Molecule: ribosomal RNA, 259 nt
Filed under: uncultured bacterium
Lineage: Bacteria
Description: partial small subunit ribosomal RNA
Rfam family: Bacterial small subunit ribosomal RNA
Source: RNAcentral